UACGGGGGGAGCAAGCGUUGUUCGGAUUUACUGGGCGUAAAGGGCGCGUAGGCGGCCUCCGCAAGUCAGUUGUGAAAUCUCCGAGCUUAACUCGGAAAGGUCAACUGAUACUGCGGGGCUAGAGUGCGGAAGGGGCAACUGGAAUUCUUGGUGUAGCGGUGAAAUGCGUAGAUAUCAAGAGGAACACCUGCGGCGAAGGCGGGUUGCUGGGCCGACACUGACGCUGAGGCGCGAAAGCGUGGGGAGCGAACAGG
Molecule: ribosomal RNA, 254 nt
Filed under: uncultured bacterium
Lineage: Bacteria
Description: partial 16S ribosomal RNA
Rfam family: Bacterial small subunit ribosomal RNA
Source: RNAcentral